AAGUCGAGCGGAUGAGUGGAGCUUGCUCCAUGAUUCAGCGGCGGACGGGUGAGUAAUGCCUAGGAAUCUGCCUGGUAGUGGGGGACAACGUUUCGAAAGGAACGCUAAUACCGCAUACGUCCUACGGGAGAAAGUGGGGGAUCUUCGGACCUCACGCUAUCAGAUGAGCCUAGGUCGGAUUAGCUAGUUGGUGAGGUAAAGGCUCACCAAGGCGACGAUCCGUAACUGGUCUGAGAGGAUGAUCAGUCACACUGGAACUGAGACACGGUCCAGACUCCUACGGGAGGCAGCAGUGGGGAAUAUUGGACAAUGGGCGAAAGCCUGAUCCAGCCAUGCCGCGUGUGUGAAGAAGGUCUUCGGAUUGUAAAGCACUUUAAGUUGGGAGGAAGGGCAGUAAGUUAAUACCUUGCUGUUUUGACGUUACCAACAGAAUAAGCACCGGCUAACUUCGUGCCAGCAGCCGCGGUAAUACGAAGGGUGCAAGCGUUAAUCG
This 493-nucleotide ribosomal RNA is filed under the name Pseudomonas sp. BV-el. RNAcentral describes it as "bacterial SSU rRNA". It matches the Rfam family "Bacterial small subunit ribosomal RNA", at positions 59 to 547 of the family's 1533-position model. The record is from RNAcentral. Lineage: Bacteria; Pseudomonadati; Pseudomonadota; Gammaproteobacteria; Pseudomonadales; Pseudomonadaceae.